CGGUGAGUUUCUAUUUCUUGGUGAUUCGGUUUGUGAAAUGACUAUUAAUUACAAGCACAGCAUCAUCAACGGUGAUUGCAAGAACUACUGCAAUCCCUGCGGUUUUUCCUCUUGGUAAAUGCGUUCUGGUCGUGACCAAGGUGGUCUCCCAAAUCGGCUGGGAAUAAGGCUAUUGUUGCAGAACAAAACGCCACAACCACUGUUGUGGUAAAUAUGUUCCAGCAGUACUGCCCACCGCCGUCGGUGUAAUGAUUUCGAUAGCUGAACAAACGCCAUCUCCUGGGCAUUCCCACAUGCCGACAAUAGCUAUUAUAUCACGUGUGAAUAAAACUGCGGCUAAAUUUGGUUAUUAACAGUGCAAUAGUGCCAUGUCAUUGGCAAAAACACUAAGGGCUGCUGGCACAUAGGGGUUGUAAAGUUUUUGGAAUCGAUGAACUUACUGGAAGAAGACGAUGGUCGAAAACAUAUGAUGAAAUAUCUUCUGACAUGCCUUUGACAAUCGUUAAGUCAGACGGAGGCUUCACAUACGAUAUUUCACACAUGGCUGGAAUUCGUUA
Molecule: long non-coding RNA, 557 nt
Filed under: Rhagoletis pomonella (apple maggot)
Lineage: Eukaryota; Metazoa; Arthropoda; Insecta; Diptera; Tephritidae
Description: uncharacterized LOC118734720
Source: RNAcentral